Lactuca sativa (garden lettuce) is the source of this 565-nucleotide long non-coding RNA. RefSeq lists it as uncharacterized. Lineage: Eukaryota; Viridiplantae; Streptophyta; Magnoliopsida; Asterales; Asteraceae. The record is from RefSeq and is a predicted model, not a curated record.
UGAAGUCAACUUUGUCUCAAGUCUCAACCCAUAUAAUUAAUCCUGUAAUGUUUUGACCAAUGACUUUCUCAAGUAAACUCUUCUAUAUAAAUCAUUUAACCCGACACUUCCAUUAUUCACAUUCCAUCCACAAAUUAGAAAAAAAAAAUUCAUCCAAAGAGACAUGACGAGUAAAUCACUUGGAUCCAGCAUGGUCUCUCUCAUCUUCAUAUUCAUCAUUCUGUUAUCACACCCCAUGCAUCCACAAUCUGACGCGGCUAUGUUAACUUCACGCCAAUUGUUUCAAGACCCCCGUUAUCCACCAUGUCUAUGCUGUCAAACAGAUGCUCCACCGCCAACCCAUUGCUAUUGUGCAUGCUUUGUGACUCAUUCAGAAAAGCCGUAAUGAUCUACAAAAUCAAUUGAAAUAAGACAAGAAGUCAUGUUCAUAAUAUACAUGUUUAAGCAACAAACGAUAUAGAAUAUAGUUUACAGAAAAUCUUUGAAAGAAUAUGACUAAUGUAUGUGUAUUUUACUUUGUACUAUUUGUGUAUACGAAAUAUAAGCAAUUCAUGAGUUUAGCCUA